GACGAAGGGGGCUAGCGUUGUUCGGAAUUACUGGGCGUAAAGCGUGUGUAGGUGGUUGUCAUAGUCAGGGGUGAAAUCCUGGAGCUCAACUCCAGAACUGCCUUUGAUACUGAAGAUCUUGAGUUCGGGAGAGGUGAGUGGAACUGCGAGUGUAGAGGUGAAAUUCGUAGAUAUUCGCAAGAACACCAGCGGCGAAGGCGGCUCACUGGCCCGAUACUGACGCUGAGGCACGAAAGCGUGGGGAGCAAACAGG
This 253-nucleotide ribosomal RNA is filed under the name uncultured bacterium. RNAcentral's name for it is "partial 16S ribosomal RNA". It matches the Rfam family "Bacterial small subunit ribosomal RNA", at positions 524 to 776 of the family's 1533-position model. The record is from RNAcentral.